This 600-nucleotide ribosomal RNA is filed under the name uncultured bacterium. Its description in RNAcentral is "bacterial SSU rRNA". It matches the Rfam family "Bacterial small subunit ribosomal RNA", at positions 269 to 859 of the family's 1533-position model. The record is from RNAcentral.
CAAGGCGACGAUGGUUAGCUGGUCUGAGAGGAUGAUCAGCCACACUGGAACUGAGACACGGUCCAGACUCCUACGGGAGGCAGCAGUGAGGAAUCUUGCGCAAUGGGGGAAACCCUGACGCAGCAACGCCGCGUGAGUGAGGAAGGUCUUCGGAUCGUAAAGCUCUGUCAGUUGGAAAGAAAUGUCUGAGAGUCAAUCCCUUUCAGGCUUGACGGUACCAACAGAGGAAGCACCGGCUAACUCCGUGCCAGCAGCCGCGGUAAUACGGGGGGUGCAAGCGUUGUUCGGAAUUAUUGGGCGUAAAGAGCGUGUAGGCGGCCGGAUAUGUCAGAUGUGAAAGCCCCGGGCUUAACCCGGGAAGUGCAUUUGAAACUGUCCGGCUCGAGUAGGGGAGAGGGAAGUGGAAUUCCUGGUGUAGAGGUGAAAUUCGUAGAUAUCAGGAGGAACACCGGUGGCGAAGGCGACUUCCUGGCCCUAUACUGACGCUGAGACGCGAGAGCGUGGGUAGCAAACAGGAUUAGAUACCCUGGUAGUCCACGCCGUAAACGAUGUUCACUAGGUGUUGGGGGUAUUGACCCCCUCAGUGCCGGAGCUAACGCA